CUGAUGAAUUUACGUACGCUCAACACCCGUUGAUUAUGUCUGGUGUCAGUAAACGUCGGCAAAAAGCGUUAUUAAAUUGUUGUCAACAGCACAGUUACAGUCACCAACGCUCUGGAUAACAUGAAAACAGCCUAACCAGCUCUGCUAGUGAGGACAGAACACUCGGAUCAAUCUACUGUCGGCCAAAGCGUCACGUGUGCGCUCUGAACGCGAAACUCUGACAACGCUCUGAAUUUACGAACGCCCAGAGCGCACUCUGGCACUCCAGAUUGAAUUUACGAACACACUCAUCAAUGAGACAUAGGCCUACUGAUUCAAUGAUACCAAAUAGUAUGGAUACACUGACAAGAUAGAAGUCUCUCUGCCCUAAUGCACCGUGUACACUAGCGUCAUCCGCCCAGAGUGGCUCGCUUGUGGGAGUGCUGGCAGCACGUUCGAUUGUGCGUCAAGAAUUCAGCAUAGCAAGUUUGUAUGAAGGUCUGGUUAUUCACAGGUAAAUAGUAAUAUGCUCUAAACCGAUCUGGUAACAACCAAACUUUGCUGCCCUGUUUCCAAUCGUCAACAUGGCUGGGAGAACCUACCUAUUCAAGUUUUCUGUCCUCAGAUACAGAGAGCUGUGAAAGCCUGUCUGCAGAUGAAGAGGUCCCAAUGAAGAGCAGUGGUUCUCAGUCCUGGUCCUGAGGACUCAAAGGGGUGCACGUUUUUGCUGAUCAAGUCAUCAUCAAGCUUCAAGUGAUACCUUGUAACUGGAGAUUCCUUCAAAACUAUUGCCUACAGUUACCGUGUAGGGCAUUGCAAGGUUUGGUGACCAGGGCCAUCUGGGACUGCAUCCUGGGGGAAUUCAGGCGUGUGAAGGCUACCUGUGUCCUGCAUAACUUCAUGAGGAUGGACACGAGGACCAGAUCUGCAGCUCACCGCCGUGUGCCAGAGGAGAGGUCUACUGCUCUGCAGGAUGUUUCAAGGAUGGGGGCCAACAACGCAGCACGGGAGGCAAUCCAUGUGCGGGAGAUCUUCACCUCCUACUUCUUUGAAGAGGGUGCUGUUCCCUGACAACACCAUAGACUACACUAUGCUCUUUUAAGAGCCAUCCACAUUGAAAACAUUUAGAACAAUUAGACACCAUAUAACCCACACCUACACACUCAUGUAUCAAUCUGAUUGAUGGAUUGUGUUGUGUUGUGCAGUAAGCAGGCUCAGGUGUACAACUGUGGCUCCUUCCACCUUCAAAGAAUAGGCAAGAGGACCAACCACGGAGAAUAUAUAAAGUACUCUGCAGCCACUUAGUGUGGACACCAGGUUAUAUCAGCUGUGUCGGUGAACCCCUCUCGCAUCUGAACUGGCUGACACAGAGGGCACAGCAUGAUCAGAGGUAUGUUUUGAUGUGAGAGAGGGUCCCGUCAUCACCAUCUCACCCACUCUUAAGAUAACCUUCGGGCCAACUGGGGGCCCAAGGCUGUUAGGAGACACUGCUAGAGACACUAUUAUGUAAUUGUGAUGAACUGAGAGAAUAUUAGGGUAGCACUGUAAUUCAUUAAUCAUAUGCUGUCUUCCCUGCUCCUCUGUUCUUACCUCUUUCCCUUAUUGUCUUUUAUACUCUUUCUUACACCUCUCUACCCGCCUCUGCUUUCUUCCUCUGUUUUUAUAAUGCACACCAGAUGUGCAUUGAAGUACAGAUCGAACUUGUAUUUAGAAUAUAUUACAAUUAUAAUAUUUAUAAUGCAUGUAUUAUGUAUUUAUAACACUUGGAUAAUUAACUUCUUGCAAUAAAGCGUUUCACAUUC
Coregonus clupeaformis (lake whitefish) is the source of this 1781-nucleotide long non-coding RNA. RefSeq lists it as uncharacterized. NCBI's taxonomy places the organism in Eukaryota, Metazoa, Chordata, Actinopteri, Salmoniformes, Salmonidae. The transcript has 6 exons. The record is from RefSeq and is a predicted model, not a curated record.